GGACAGGUAGCUCAGCUGGUAGAGCGAAGGACUGAAAAUCCUUAGGUCGCCGGUUCGACCCCGGCCCUGUCCA
Molecule: transfer RNA, 73 nt
Filed under: Pseudomonadota bacterium
Lineage: Bacteria; Pseudomonadati; Pseudomonadota
Also listed under: 2 other names
Description: tRNA-Phe
Rfam family: tRNA
About the family: Transfer RNA (tRNA) molecules are approximately 80 nucleotides in length. Their secondary structure includes four short double-helical elements and three loops (D, anti-codon, and T loops).
Source: RNAcentral